Long non-coding RNA from Etheostoma spectabile (orangethroat darter), 154 nucleotides. RefSeq lists it as uncharacterized. NCBI's taxonomy places the organism in Eukaryota, Metazoa, Chordata, Actinopteri, Perciformes, Percidae. The transcript has 3 exons. The record is from RefSeq and is a predicted model, not a curated record.
ACCAAAACAAUGCAGCCUCAUGGUGUGAGGGAUCCUCCUGCUAUAGGUCAGUCCACCUACCCCUCCUCUGUUCCCUGUAAACCCAUCAGCCACCCCAGAGCCAACAAGUACAGCUUCCACAACAGGAAGUGUCCAACUCCUGGUUGUGAUGUUC